RNAcentral lists this ribosomal RNA (453 nucleotides) under uncultured bacterium. Its description in RNAcentral is "partial 16S ribosomal RNA". It matches the Rfam family "Bacterial small subunit ribosomal RNA", at positions 28 to 523 of the family's 1533-position model. The record is from RNAcentral.
GAUGAACGCUGGCGGCGUGCCUAAUACAUGCAAGUCGAGCGGUAACACUUCGUGUGACGAGCGGCGGACGGCUGAGUAACACGUAGGAAUCUACCCCAGACUGAGGGAUAAGCACCGGAAACGGUGUCUAAUACCGCAUACGCUCUAAGGAGUAAAGCUUCGGCGGGUUGGGAAGAGCCUGCGCAUGAUUAGCUUGUUGGUAAGGUAAUGGCUUACCAAGGCGACGAUCAUUAGCUGGUCUGAGAGGAUGAUCAGCCAGAUUGGGACUGAGACACGGCCCAGACUCCUACGGGAGGCAGCAGUAGGGAAUUUUCCACAAUGGGCGAAAGCCUGAUGGAGCAACGCCGCGUGCAGGAUGAAGGCCUUCGGGUUGUAAACUGCUUUUAUAUGUGAAGAUUAUGACGGUAGCAUAUGAAUAAGGAUCGGCUAACUCCGUGCCAGCCGCCGCGGUAA